GUACACUCCUGCGGGAGGCAGCAGUGGGGAAUUUUGAACAAUGGGCGAAAGCCUGAUCCAGCAAUGCCGCGUGAGUGAAGAAGGCCUUCGGGUUGUAAAGCUCUUUUGUCAGGGAAGAAACGGUGAAAGCUAAUAUCUUUUGCUAAUGACGGUACCUGAAGAAUAAGCACCGGCUAACUACGUGCCAGCAGCCGCGGUAAUACGUAGGGUGCAAGCGUUAAUCGGAAUUACUGGGCGUAAAGCGUGCGCAGGCGGUUUUGUAAGUCUGAUGUGAAAUCCCCGGGCUCAACCUGGGAAUUGCAUUGGAGACUGCAAGGCUAGAAUCUGGCAGAGGGGGGUAGAAUUCCACGUGUAGCAGUGAAAUGCGUAGAUAUGUGGAGGAACACCGAUGGCGAAGGCAGCCCCCUGGGUCAAGAUUGACGCUCAUGCACGAAAGCGUGGGGAGCAAACAGGAUUAGAUACCCGGGUAGUCCCAUG
RNAcentral lists this ribosomal RNA (477 nucleotides) under uncultured organism. RNAcentral's name for it is "partial 16S ribosomal RNA". It matches the Rfam family "Bacterial small subunit ribosomal RNA", at positions 331 to 799 of the family's 1533-position model. The record is from RNAcentral.